Molecule: non-coding RNA, 72 nt
Organism: Sus scrofa (pig)
Lineage: Eukaryota; Metazoa; Chordata; Mammalia; Artiodactyla; Suidae
Source: Rfam
UCCCUGGUGGCCUAGUGGUUAAGGAUCAGCAUUGUCACUGCUGUGGCAUGGGUUCAAUUCCUGGCCCUGGAA